This 939-nucleotide long non-coding RNA is filed under the name Homo sapiens (human). Its description in RNAcentral is "non-protein coding LINC01503:8". Lineage: Eukaryota; Metazoa; Chordata; Mammalia; Primates; Hominidae. The record is from RNAcentral.
CGAGGCGACGGGCUCCGGGCCCUGAUAGAUGGGGUGCGGGGACGGAGACAAAUGACGGCCUUUGGGCUCGGAAUACCCACCUUUCUGGUAAUGCAGCCCAGCGGGUCCCAGCCUCGUUUUCCAGCCCUCACUCAAAAUGGAGUCGCUCUGGUUCGAACGCCUCUGACAAGUGUGUACCUACGUGUCAGGAUUUGCCGGGUGCUGGGCCCCAGAAGCCAGCCCUCCUGACGUGUGGCGGCCGUCCUCACCGCUCCCUCCUUCCCUGCAGCAUUCCCCAGCCCCCGGCCCACCCUCCUCCCACCCGCUUCCUGACCCAGGCUCCCGGGCCUUCCCCUCGUGGCCACCUAGCUGUGUGCUUUGUUUGGCUGCUGUCACCCCCAGGAAGGUGAUCCCCGUGAGAACUCAAAUAGCAGAUGCUCAUCUGGGACCCCCGCCUCCAGCCCCAGGGGAGGUUUCCUGGUCCUCACUGUGGCCGGGGCAUGGCUCCUUCACCCCGGGGCUCACCCUCGGUGUCCGUGAAGUCCAGCCGACGGUGACCCUAAGUCCUCCCUCCACUCGCCUAUGUUUGGGGAUAGCCCAUCCUUCCUGCAGGCCUUUGUCUUGGUGUCACCCUGCCUGAGCUGGCCCCAACCACAGUAGCAACAGUGAUGCUGAUGUGUGACUGCUGCCAGGAGCCUGCUCACAUGACCGUGUGGAGAAAGUUCUUUCCCUGAGGACCAUCUGGAGUGGACGCGUGCACUACCCCUCUCUGAAUACACCCUCCCCACGAGGCCCUCUGGAGCAUCCUGUAGAGCCAGCCCCUACCCAGAGACCCUGAGCCCAGAGAAUGCGCUGGGUGGUGAGCCUGGGGACGAAUGCAGAGCCCUAGGUCUCCUCUCCAGAAGUAAGUAUGGGGUUUGUGUAAAUUGCUUGGUCAGGAGGGCGGGACCUGGGGUCUUC